UUGGAGGGCAAGUCUGGUGCCCGCAGCCGCGGUAAUUCCAGCUCCAAUAGCGUAUAUUAAAGUUGUUGUGGUUAAAAAGCUCGUAGUAGAAGCUCGGGCUCCGGCCGACCGGUCCGCCUCACCGCGUGCACUGGUUCGGCUGGGUCUUUCCUUCUGGAGAACCUCAUGCCCUUCACUGGGUGUGCUGGGGAACCAGGACUUUUACUCUGAACAAAUUAGAUCGCUUAAAGAAGGCCUAUGCUCGAAUACAUUAGCAUGGAAUAAUAGAAUAGG
Molecule: ribosomal RNA, 273 nt
Filed under: uncultured Ascomycota
Lineage: Eukaryota; Fungi; Ascomycota
Description: partial 18S ribosomal RNA
Rfam family: Eukaryotic small subunit ribosomal RNA
Source: RNAcentral